AAUUAGCGAAACAAAGCAAUCAUGGCGGAGCGAGCACACCGGGCUGCGCGCCCCGAGGACUCGGCGACCGCCCCGCGCCCUGGCCGACAUAUGAGAUGAUUGCCCUCCUGAGAACAUCUAACUGCCACUCCAGAAUGAGAUGUGUAAGGCUCCGUUAGUGAUAUGGGCUGCAGAAAACCCUGCCAGAAGACAGGAUGUUCAAGAGUAACAUCUCAGUUGCCGUCCUUCUCUGCUGGGAAAUGCUCCUGGGACAGCAUUCUAUCUUGUCUGGAAUGUUCAAGUAUCUCACUGUGUCCUGGCUGUCCUGGAAUUUGCCAUGUAGAAGAGAAUGGCCUGAAACUCACAGAGAUCAAUUCCCCUGCCUCUGCCCCGACUCUCCAAAUACUGAGAUUAAAGGUGUGUGGUUCCACAUCUGGCCUCAAAGUGUUAUGGCUGCUGGAGGCACUCCAUAGUGAUUUCAGAGGAUCUCUUUUCUAAACAUUCCUGUCCCGAAAUAAGGAGCAGAAUCAACAAUAAAUAUGUCACAUCUGUGUGGGAGCUGGUUCAACAAGAGCCUCAGCCACAUAGAGCAACAAUUGCAGCUUUCUGACUGUCUCCUGAAUGGGUUGGGUGGACGCCAUAUAUGUGGAUGCUCCUAUCCUGAAAGCACAAAGCUGUGAAUGUUAAGCAUUGUCAACAGUGUCAUCACUUCCUAAAAAGAAAAUGAGAGAAAAAGGUGGGUGAGAUGCCACCCCGGUAAAAGCAUUUGCUGCUAAGUCUGAUGAACUGAUCUUAAGCCCUAAGACCCACAUAGUGGAAAGAGAAAAACAACCCUCACUAGUUAUUCUUUGACUUCCAUACAUGUUCCAUGCCACAUGUGUGUGCUCACACAAUAAUUAUUUUUUUUAACGAAAGUAACAGAAAUAGCCUUGACACCUAAAUCAGAAUAUCUUGCUAUGAGUUAAGCAUAGGACCCCCUUCCUUGCUUUUUCCUUACUAUUUUCAAUAACCUUCAAGGUUGAAAUAAUUCCAUAAUGGAGUUAAAAAAAAAUCCAGGGAGAAGAAAGACAGAACAUACAGUUUAGCUUUGCAUAAUUCUAGCAACCAGAACACAUUUCCUGAAAGUGACAGUCUUGCUCAUAGACAUGCCAAAACAAAAAAAUACAAAUCUAAAAUUUGAGCUGAUAACUUAGAUGGUGGCAGAGAUACCAACUUGUGAAAAGUCACAAUUUUGCAUUGUGCUGGGAAGCCACCUUCUGUGGGGGACUACUGUCACUCUUUAAUACCCAGCAGAGGAACCCCGCUGUGCUUUGUCGGUCAGGAGCAACAUCCAAGGCUCCCUGUAAAAGUAAUUCACACUUUUCUCACAACACUGUUGCUUUAAUUACCACUGAACUCUGUGGAUGCUCAGGCAGGCCUGGUAGGACAUGGCAGAGACAGAAGCAGAGGCAUAGAAAAAGCAAAUGGCUUUUCUUCUCCUUACUUCAUGAUUAGCAGCCCAUCUUUGAUGGAAUUGUUCCUAGUUCUGAAGGCUGGACUUA
Molecule: long non-coding RNA, 1520 nt
Organism: Mus musculus (house mouse)
Lineage: Eukaryota; Metazoa; Chordata; Mammalia; Rodentia; Muridae
Product: RIKEN cDNA 5730522E02 gene
Exons: 6
Source: RefSeq, marked validated